Molecule: ribosomal RNA, 253 nt
Filed under: uncultured bacterium
Lineage: Bacteria
Description: partial 16S ribosomal RNA
Rfam family: Bacterial small subunit ribosomal RNA
Source: RNAcentral
UACGGGGGGGGCAAGCGUUGUUCGGAAUUACUGGGCGUAAAGGGCUCGUAGGCGGCCAACUAAGUCGGAUGUGAAAUCCCCAGGCUUAACCUGGGAACUGCAUCCGAUACUGGAUGGCUUGAAUCCGGGAGAGGGAUGCAGAAUUCCAGGUGUAGCGGUGAAAUGCGUAGAUAUCAGGAGGAACACCGGUGGCGAAGGCGGGUCUCUGGGCCGACACUGACGCUGAGGAGCGAAAGCGUGGGGAGCGAACAGG